Molecule: ribosomal RNA, 322 nt
Filed under: uncultured eukaryote
Lineage: Eukaryota
Description: partial 18S ribosomal RNA
Rfam family: Eukaryotic small subunit ribosomal RNA
Source: RNAcentral
CCCUUGGAUGUUCUGGGCCGCACGCGUGCUACACUGAGUGGAUCAGCGGGUCAGGUUGCGCGAAAGCGUUUCCUAAUCUUUAAAUCCGCUCGUGAUGGGGAUUGACGGUUGCAAUUUUCUGUCAUGAACGAGGAAUACCUUGUAAGCGCGGGUCAUCAUCCCGCGCUGAAUACGUCCCUGCCCUUUGUACACACCGCCCGUCGCUCCUACCGAUUGAGUGGUCCGGUGAGGCUUUGGGAUCUGAGCGGAAAGAGCGUUUCGCUGUUUCUGCUCGGAAAACUCAGUCGAACCUUAUCAUUUAGAGGAAGGAGAAGUCGUAACA